AUUGAACGCUGGCGGCAGGCCUAACACAUGCCAGUCGAACGGUAACAGGAAGCAGUUUGCUGCUUUGCUGACGAGUGGCGGACGGGUGAGUAAUGUCUGGGAAACUGCCCGAUGGAGGGGGAUAACUACUGGAAACGGUAGCUAAUACCGCAUAACGUCGCAAGACCAAAGAGGGGGACCUUAGGGCCUCUUGCCAUCGGAUGUGCCCAGAUGGGAUUAGCUAGUAGGUGGGGUAACGGCUCACCUAGGCGACGAUCCCUAGCUGGUCUGAGAGGAUGACCAGCCACACUGGAACUGAGACACGGUCCAGACUCCUACGGGGGGCAGCAGUGGGGAAUAUUGCACAAUGGGCGCAAGCCUGAUGCAGCCAUGCCGCGUGUAUGAAGAAGGCCUUCGGGUUGUAAAGUACUUUCAGCGGGGAGGAAGGGAGUAAAGUUAAUACCUUUGCUCAUUGACGUUACCCGCAGAAGAAGCACCGGCUAACUCCGUG
RNAcentral lists this ribosomal RNA (490 nucleotides) under uncultured bacterium. RNAcentral describes it as "partial 16S ribosomal RNA". It matches the Rfam family "Bacterial small subunit ribosomal RNA", at positions 30 to 507 of the family's 1533-position model. The record is from RNAcentral.